CCAAUAGCGUAUAUUAAAGUUGUUGCAGUUAAAAAGCUCGUAGUUGAAUUUCGGGAUCAACAUGUCGGUCGUGCCUCCGGUACGUACUGGUAUCGUUGAUUUCUACCUUCUGACGAACCAUGAUGUCAUUAAUUUGGUGUCAUGGGGAAUCAGGACUGUUACUUUGAAAAAAUUAGAGUGUUUAAAGCAGGCACACGCUUGAAUACAUUAGCAUGGAAUAAUGAAAUAGGACGUUUGACCCUAUUUUGUUGGUUUCUAGGAUCGACGUAAUGAUUAAUAGGGAUAGUUGGGGGCAUUAGUAUUCAAUUGUCAGAGGUGAAAUUCUUGGAUUUAUUGAAGACUAACUACUGCGAAAGCAUUUGCCAAGGAUGUUUUCAUUAAUCAAGAACGAAAGUUAGGGGAUCGAAGACGAUCAGAUACCGUCGUAGUCUUAACCAUAAACUAUGCCGACUAGGGAUCGGAUGAUGUUAAUUUUUUAAUGACUCAUUCGGCGCCUUACG
RNAcentral lists this ribosomal RNA (500 nucleotides) under uncultured Glomeromycotina. RNAcentral describes it as "partial small subunit ribosomal RNA". It matches the Rfam family "Eukaryotic small subunit ribosomal RNA", at positions 591 to 1092 of the family's 1831-position model. The record is from RNAcentral. Lineage: Eukaryota; Fungi; Glomeromycota.